Molecule: long non-coding RNA, 1154 nt
Filed under: Rhinopithecus bieti (black snub-nosed monkey)
Lineage: Eukaryota; Metazoa; Chordata; Mammalia; Primates; Cercopithecidae
Description: lncRNA (ENSRBIG00000046786.1)
Source: RNAcentral
ACCUCUGUGUGUUUGCAUCUUUCUUAUCAGGAUGGUGUCACAAGGCCACAACCACUAGCUGUAAGCGAGGUUGGGAAAGCCUCUCUGAUGGAGUUGGAUUAAUACCCACUGGGAUCACCACCAGAAGAAACCAAAGAAUGAAAACAGCAACUACUAAUGCCAGGAGGACAGAGCCCAAAUAAGAAGAAACUCCAUGUAGAAUGAAAGCUGCAGGAUGCUCUUUUUACCUUCCAUCUAUGGGAUUUGGUCAGCCUUACAAAAAAGACCGGGGGAUAGUAAUACUCUUGGAGAGACGAAGAAAGAGUGGGCAGAUGGAAGGUGCAGGUAUGGAUUGGUGAUGAUCCUGCCCAGCCAGAGAUUUAAACAUGUAAACUUGGAGAAGAUGGGCCUGGAACUGCAAUUUGGAGGAGGAGUGCUCUUUGGUGGAGAGGAGUUGUAAAUGUCAGUGUGUGCCUAACAGUAGGAAACUGAGGAGAGAGGAUCAUAUUUGGUCUAGAAGUGUUCAAGCGAGAGAGAAGAAUGAGUGGCAGACUUGAAAACCCUCCCUAUGGAACUCAGCUAGUCUCCCUGCCUGUGCACUGUGGUGUUCUCAUUGUUCAGGUCUCAUCGUCUCUGGCUCUGACUUUCCCUUGCUUGGGGUCCCUUACACUUUGGCAGACCCUCAGGUGGACUCUCACACGAAUCCCACAUGUAUUCCAGACAUUGUUUUCUCAUAAGUCCAGUCUCUACUUUUAGUCUCUCGGGUAUUGGCCACAGUUUCUGGUCUGCCUAGAAUUUCUCAGCAUGGCUAUGCAUGUCCUCAUUAUACACAUUACUUUAGGAUGUGUAAGUGUGUAGACAUUUCACAUGCAUGCACAUAUACAUUAUUUUGGUGAAGGAUAUAAGGAGUUUGCAGUGUGUACCCAGUUCUCUAUUUUGAAACUGUGAGUCCUUUAAUUUAGAUGCCUUUUCUAUUAUACUGUGGAAAAUGAUGAAGUAAAACAAGUGGGAUGGAGGAGAGGAUAGGGCAGAAAAUAAGUAGGUGCAUCACAGUAAGUGAACUGAAGAGUUCCCACUUCUAUCAGUGGUCUCACAAAGAGGUGGUUUUAUUCUUAAUAAAGCAGUAUUUUAUCAUUAUAAAGAAUCAUAGAAUAUCAAGUUAUUUAACAAAAUCU